This 412-nucleotide ribosomal RNA is filed under the name uncultured Lactobacillus sp. Its description in RNAcentral is "bacterial SSU rRNA". It matches the Rfam family "Bacterial small subunit ribosomal RNA", at positions 58 to 446 of the family's 1533-position model. Lineage: Bacteria; Bacillati; Bacillota; Bacilli; Lactobacillales; Lactobacillaceae. The record is from RNAcentral.
CGAGUCUGCCUUGAAGAUCGGAGUGCUUGCACUCUGUGAAACAAGAUACAGGCUAGCGGCGGACGGGUGAGUAACACGUGGGUAACCUGCCCAAGAGAUCGGGAUAACACCUGGAAACAGAUGCUAAUACCGGAUAACGACAGAUGAUGCCUAUCAACUGUUUAAAAGAUGGUUCUGCUAUCACUCUUGGAUGGACCUGCGGUGCAUUAGCUAGUUGGUAGGGUAACGGCCUACCAAGGCGAUGAUGCAUAGCCGAGUUGAGAGACUGAUCGGCCACAUUGGGACUGAGACACGGCCCAAACUCCUACGGGAGGCAGCAGUAGGGAAUCUUUCACAAUGGACGCAAGUCUGAUGGAGCAACGCCGCGUGAGUGAAGAAGGGUUUCGGCUCGUAAAGCUCUGUUGUUGGUGAA